CCUACGGGAGGCUGCAGUGAGGAAUAUUGGGCAAUGGAGGCAACUCUGACCCAGCCAUGCCGCGUGCAGGAUUACGAUCGACAAGAUUUUAAACUGCUUUUAUAAUGGGAAAAUCAUCAAUUUGCGAAUUGAUUUGCUGUUACAUUAUGAAUAAGAAUCGGCUAACUCCGUGCCAGCAGCCGCGGUAAUACGGGGGAUUCAAGCGUUAUCCGGACUUAUUGGGUUUAAAGGGUGCGUAGGCUGAUAAAUCAGUCAGCGGUGAAAUUUACGGGCUUAACUUGUAGCUUGCCGUUGAAACUAUUUAUCUAGAGAUAUUUCGGCGUAUGCGGAAUGUAUCAAGUAGCGGUGAAAUGCAUAGAUAUGCUACAGAACACCAAUCGCGAAGGCAGCAUACGAGGCAUCAUCUGACGCUGAUGCACGAAAGCGUGGGGAUCAAACAGGAUUAGAUACCCCUGUAGUC
RNAcentral lists this ribosomal RNA (460 nucleotides) under uncultured Bacteroidota bacterium. Its description in RNAcentral is "bacterial SSU rRNA". It matches the Rfam family "Bacterial small subunit ribosomal RNA", at positions 338 to 795 of the family's 1533-position model. Lineage: Bacteria; Pseudomonadati; Bacteroidota. The record is from RNAcentral.